AUGUCAUGGGUCGGACCCGUUCCUGGGCCCUGUUCCUACGUUUGGUAUGUAACUGGAACCAGAACGACAUCGUUCCCACCGAGCGAAUAUUCGGUCUAUAUCCGGAACAUGCCGAUACCUCCAAAUCGGAGGAACGACGCGGAACGGCUCUUGCUCACCCCUCACGUCUCCCUCGGCGGCCCGCUUAUCUCCCUCUCUCGCCUCUCUCUCUCUCUCUCAUCCGACAGGAACAGGCAGGCGGCGGCGGCAGGAGGUGAGCGGCGGCAGCGGGAACCGGCAGGCGGCAGAGCUGGAAGAAGGCGAGCGGCAGCAGGCGGUGCCUGCUCUGCUUGUACUUGUCCCUGCCUCCGCACCCACCAUCGGCGCACCAGGCAGUCGCCCCCUCCUCCUACGCCUUGA
Molecule: ribosomal RNA, 399 nt
Filed under: Triticum aestivum (bread wheat)
Lineage: Eukaryota; Viridiplantae; Streptophyta; Magnoliopsida; Poales; Poaceae
Description: partial small subunit ribosomal RNA
Source: RNAcentral